UACGUAGGGGGCAAGCGUUAUCCGGAUUUACUGGGUGUAAAGGGAGCGUAGACGGCAGGGCAAGUCUGGAGUGAAAGGCGGGGGCUCAACCCCCGGACUGCUCUGGAAACUGCCAGGCUGGAGUGCAGGAGAGGUAAGUGGAAUUCCUAGUGUAGCGGUGAAAUGCGUAGAUAUUAGGAGGAACACCAGUGGCGAAGGCGGCUUACUGGACUGUAACUGACGUUGAAGCUCGAAAGCGUGGGGAGCAAACAGG
This 253-nucleotide ribosomal RNA is filed under the name uncultured bacterium. RNAcentral's name for it is "partial 16S ribosomal RNA". It matches the Rfam family "Bacterial small subunit ribosomal RNA", at positions 524 to 776 of the family's 1533-position model. The record is from RNAcentral.